Non-coding RNA from Nicotiana tabacum (common tobacco), 2654 nucleotides. The record is from RefSeq and is a predicted model, not a curated record. NCBI's taxonomy places the organism in Eukaryota, Viridiplantae, Streptophyta, Magnoliopsida, Solanales, Solanaceae.
ACUAUAAAGUCACUUGGCAAUUUAGGAUAAUAUUAUAAUAAUAUAUAAAUUAAAUUUUGUGCGCGGGGAGUAGUUAUUGACUAUUGAUUUAUUAUCUGAUGAAUUUUUGUGAAUAAAUUGAAGUUAAGUGAAGGAUAGGAGUUGUGAAUUUCUUCAUUUAUUACUAUGAGAUAAUGGAGUUGAAUGUUGAAAAUUGAUGAAUCAGUGUAGUUUCAUCUCAGCUUGAAAUUAGCUUUAUUGCUAUUGGUUGGGUCUUCAUUGCACUGACUUGAAUCCUCACGUCCAAUUUUCUCCGCAUGGCUGAGCCAUCUUAAAUUGGGUGAGCGGCUGGACAGCGGAGUUAUUAUGCUUUCAUGUUUAUAAACUAGCUGUUUGUAGGAGGUAAAGUAAUUGUUGUCUUUGCAGAGAGUUUAGAGAUAUGCUCUAUCCCUUUUAAUUUAAAUGAAGAAAAUACAUCUGAAGGCGGAAAUAUAAUGUCUAUAGUCUUUUCUGCAUCAGAUUGCUCAGAGAGAACGUAAAUGUUAAGGAACUGAUAGCUGAUACAAAAGUGUAUAUGAUAUACUUGUAGUACGUGGAAAAAAUGCUCAAAGGUUAUAUAAAAGUAAAAAGUUGUCCGCUUCUGCAUGUUUUGCACAGUUCCACAUUCUUUGAUAAUUUGUUGUUAAACCUUACUUGUUAUCAAAAAGUGGUAGAAUCUUGUUGCCUAGCACUUCCAAGAGCUCUCUAUGUUUUAAGUGCAAAUAGAAUAUGAGUAGUUUUCUCAAUUAAAUAGUAUAUUAAUGAAAUUGCAUCUAAAAGAACACUUGUUGGAUUGGUCUAUGCGUGCCAGCUGCUUACGACGCCUGAAUCCAGUCCUAAUAGCUAAACAAGCUCAAAAGAAUCCAAAAGUAUACGGUUUUGGACCAUCAUGAUCCUUGGAAUUUGUGCCAUUAGAUCUUCUGGACAGACAUAUCUAAUGAUCUAAAUUCCAAGGACCAUGAUGUUUUAGUAGGAGUCCUGGACCAUAGUAGAUGUGCUUUUAGAGUCAUCUAAAGUGAAGGCUGUCUCAUCUGCUUGUAAUUGUGCAAAUGCACAAUAUUUCAUACCGGAUAAUUUGCUAUCAAAUCACAAUAUUUGCCAACAAGUGGUAGUAGCUGGGUUGUCUAGAGGAUUAACUGUAUUUUACUAAUGCCAAAAGAAGAAUAAUCGUUUUCUUCUAUUUGCAUUAUGGAAUAAUUUUCUGUACUGAAUUUGACAGAAGUGUUUGCUUUGAUUUCUUUGCGAGUUGCCUUUUUAUUCUAGCCUGUUGGUUUUGACUUCUGGGGACUGCCAAUGAUAAUAGAGGUCAUAUCUUUAUAUGGCAUCUGCAGUCAUACACGCUUCCAAGGAUAGGGCGACGGAAUAGAUUACCUUUUGGCCAGUGCAUGGUGAAAAGAGAUACUGGUGGUAGAUAAUGUGGAAGUCUUGAACUUCCUUCUUGAAAUACUUGAAACUCAUUGAGCAGCUGUUUCUAUUUGUAAUUUUACAACAUUUUGUUGUUUCAUUUUAGGGCAUUUUAGACAAUCAUGUUGCUUCUUCUCCGAAUUUCUCUGUUUCCUUUGGUUGGCUAAGUUGGGUCUUCCAAUUUCUCUGUUUCCUUUUGGUUGGCUAAGUCGGGGUUUGGUUUCUUCGAUAAUUUAGCACAUACCACAUGGUGAAGUAAAGGUUUUUGUUUCUCAGGAACAUGCCAAAAUCAUAAAUGUCAAACAAACAUACAUAUUAUGAAUGCUAAAUUUGACACUUACAUUUUAUGUUAUAAAGAGCACAACUAUAAGGUCAUUUACUUUGGCUGUAAAGAAAUAAGAAUACUCUAGUCUGAGCUAGUGGUAUCAAUUCGAAGCUUAGAUGGUCAAGCAAACAAAUUGCGACUAAUGAAUUGUGAACCCAUGAUUUUCAUAGACUAUGGUUUGUAGUCUGUAAAGUACAUAAUCUUGUAUACUUGCCUGAGCAGCUUUCUUGAUGCAGUGUGAAAAUAAUGAUGGCCGUGCACCACACACAUAACUUGAUGCUGAUAUAGCUGCUGGAAUGGGCAUGCCAGAUAAUGGUCCAAAGCUAUGUCAAUGGGUUGAGCUUCUCUCGUUCUGGUUAAUAACUCCUUUGGCACUGAUUGCUCAGAGAGAACGUAAAUGUUAAGGAACUGAUAGCUGAUACCCAAGUGUAUAUGAUAGUACUUGUCGUACAUGAAAGAAAUGCUCAAAGGUUAUAUAAAAGUAAAAAGUUGUCCGCUUCUGCAUGUUUUGCACAGUCCCACAUUCUUUGAUAAUUUGUUGUUAAACCUUACUUGUUAUCAACAAGAAAAGGUAAAACUACCUUAUGGAACUUGGGAAGGACAAAAUCUGGACGAAGAAACAGCUGGGAAUUGUUGCAAACAGCUGGGAAUUGUUGCGAACUUGGAAGUACUGUGCAGUUUAUGAGCAAGCGUCACUAUUGGGUUGAUCUUUUGUGUAUGUGUCUGUAUUUUAGAAAAUUGAAGCAGUCCAUUACACCUAAUUCAAAGAAACAAUCUCAUAAAUAGUUGUCGUAAAGGUAUAAUGUUGCUAUUUCUUUAAUUUUUUUUUUAAAAGUUGGAUCAGUUUGGGUACAUUAGGCAAUGUACUUUAUCUAACUAUCUUAUUGAGUAUGGUUUAUCUGCCUGA